This 63-nucleotide transfer RNA is filed under the name Bursa rhodostoma. RNAcentral describes it as "tRNA-His". The record is from RNAcentral. Lineage: Eukaryota; Metazoa; Mollusca; Gastropoda; Littorinimorpha; Bursidae.
AUCAAGUUAGUUUAUUGAAAACAUCAAUCUGUGGAGUUGAAGAUGAAAUUUUUUCACUUGAUC